This 922-nucleotide long non-coding RNA is filed under the name Ananas comosus (pineapple). RNAcentral's name for it is "long non-coding RNA (ACOM_LNC032072)". The record is from RNAcentral. Lineage: Eukaryota; Viridiplantae; Streptophyta; Magnoliopsida; Poales; Bromeliaceae.
CUUGUGAAAAAUAUUCUACAGUAGAUAUCCUUCCGUAAAAGUCUGUCAACAACUAUUUUAAUAAUUAUCUUAAAUCAAUAUAAAUUUGUGAAUCACAUUUAUCUACAAAUUUAUAUUUUUAAAUUGUAAAUUCAUAUGUUAUAUUUUAUUGAAAAAUAUUUUAUAUUUUAAAUAUUAGUAGAUAAAAUUGAGAUAAUUUUUAUAUAUUCGUCUUUUAAAAAAUAUGAUUAAAUAUUAUAUAUGCGGAAGGUAUUACGUGAUUGUAUAUUAUGUAGAUGGCAAAUAUUAUGUGUGAGAAAGAAAAUAUUUAAGAAGCGUAGAUUACGAAUAUUAUUGUGAUAUAAUACGAUAUUAUUAUGUGGGCAGCGGUUAUUAGGAGAGAAGAUAAGCAUAUAAAAUGUGAAAUUUGAUACGCAUUAUUUGAGGGUAAUUUAGGUAAAAAAUAUGAAAGAUACUUAAUUCGUCCGUCAUUGGAUUAAAUCUAAUGACUAAGAAUUAAUAUAUUUUAUGAUAAUUUAAAAAUAAAAUAAAAAUUGUAUAACUGUGAUUUUUUCCAUUAAAAUUGAAUGAAUGAUAUUGCUAGUAUGUGAUUGUAAUUAUAUUAAUAGGAAUCGGUAUUUUGGAAAAGAUAAAUUUUUUAAAACUCCCUCUUUUAUAAGUAGUAUAUAUAUAUAUAAUUAUGCUACUAUACUAUCAAUAGUACUAAGCUCUUGGUACUAUUGAGUUUUCGACCGUUGGAUGAAAAGAUGUGCGGUCAGGAUGAUAGUGGUCCCCGGUUAAAUUGAUAGUGGUUCCCUAGGGUUGACUGGGUGGUUGGUUUAAUAGUAUAAUCUAACGGUGGAAAUGAUCAAAGGGUAGAUCUAACGGUAAAAAACUCAAUAGUACGAAGGACUUGGUACUAUCGAUAGUAUAGUAGCCGGAU